Molecule: ribosomal RNA, 479 nt
Filed under: uncultured bacterium
Lineage: Bacteria
Description: bacterial SSU rRNA
Rfam family: Bacterial small subunit ribosomal RNA
Source: RNAcentral
AUUGAACGCUGGCGGCAUGCCUUACACAUGCAAGUCGAACGGCAGCACGGGUGCUUGCACCUGGUGGCGAGUGGCGAACGGGUGAGUAAUAUAUCGGAACGUACCUUAUUGUGGGGGAUAACGCAGCGAAAGCUGUGCUAAUACCGCAUAAUCCCUUAGGGGGAAAGCGGGGGACCGUAAGGCCUCGCGCAAUUAGAGCGGCCGAUACCUGAUUAGCUAGUUGGUGAGGUAAAGGCUCACCAAGGCAACGAUCAGUAGCUGGUCUGAGAGGACGAUCAGCCACACUGGGACUGAGACACGGCCCAGACUCCUACGGGAGGCAGCAGUGGGGAAUUUUGGACAAUGGGGGGCAACCCUGAUCCAGCAAUGCCGCGUGAGUGAAGAAGGCCUUCGGGUUGUAAAGCUCUUUGUCUAGGGAAGAAACACCGGCUCUAACACAGUCCGGAAUGACGGUACCUGAAGAAUAAGCACCGGCUAAC